Molecule: ribosomal RNA, 2547 nt
Filed under: Escherichia coli
Lineage: Bacteria; Pseudomonadati; Pseudomonadota; Gammaproteobacteria; Enterobacterales; Enterobacteriaceae
Description: partial 23S ribosomal RNA
Rfam family: Bacterial large subunit ribosomal RNA
Source: RNAcentral
UGUGAGCUCGAUGAGUAGGGCGGGACACGUGGUAUCCUGUCUGAAUAUGGGGGGACCAUCCUCCAAGGCUAAAUACUCCUGACUGACCGAUAGUGAACCAGUACCGUGAGGGAAAGGCGAAAAGAACCCCGGCGAGGGGAGUGAAAAAGAACCUGAAACCGUGUACGUACAAGCAGUGGGAGCACGCUUAGGCGUGUGACUGCGUACCUUUUGUAUAAUGGGUCAGCGACUUAUAUUCUGUAGCAAGGUUAACCGAAUAGGGGAGCCGAAGGGAAACCGAGUCUUAACUGGGCGUUAAGUUGCAGGGUAUAGACCCGAAACCCGGUGAUCUAGCCAUGGGCAGGUUGAAGGUUGGGUAACACUAACUGGAGGACCGAACCGACUAAUGUUGAAAAAUUAGCGGAUGACUUGUGGCUGGGGGUGAAAGGCCAAUCAAACCGGGAGAUAGCUGGUUCUCCCCGAAAGCUAUUUAGGUAGCGCCUCGUGAAUUCAUCUCCGGGGGUAGAGCACUGUUUCGGCAAGGGGGUCAUCCCGACUUACCAACCCGAUGCAAACUGCGAAUACCGGAGAAUGUUAUCACGGGAGACACACGGCGGGUGCUAACGUCCGUCGUGAAGAGGGAAACAACCCAGACCGCCAGCUAAGGUCCCAAAGUCAUGGUUAAGUGGGAAACGAUGUGGGAAGGCCCAGACAGCCAGGAUGUUGGCUUAGAAGCAGCCAUCAUUUAAAGAAAGCGUAAUAGCUCACUGGUCGAGUCGGCCUGCGCGGAAGAUGUAACGGGGCUAAACCAUGCACCGAAGCUGCGGCAGCGACGCUUAUGCGUUGUUGGGUAGGGGAGCGUUCUGUAAGCCUGUGAAGGUGUGCUGUGAGGCAUGCUGGAGGUAUCAGAAGUGCGAAUGCUGACAUAAGUAACGAUAAAGCGGGUGAAAAGCCCGCUCGCCGGAAGACCAAGGGUUCCUGUCCAACGUUAAUCGGGGCAGGGUGAGUCGACCCCUAAGGCGAGGCCGAAAGGCGUAGUCGAUGGGAAACAGGUUAAUAUUCCUGUACUUGGUGUUACUGCGAAGGGGGGACGGAGAAGGCUAUGUUGGCCGGGCGACGGUUGUCCCGGUUUAAGCGUGUAGGCUGGUUUUCCAGGCAAAUCCGGAAAAUCAAGGCUGAGGCGUGAUGACGAGGCACUACGGUGCUGAAGCAACAAAUGCCCUGCUUCCAGGAAAAGCCUCUAAGCAUCAGGUAACAUCAAAUCGUACCCCAAACCGACACAGGUGGUCAGGUAGAGAAUACCAAGGCGCUUGAGAGAACUCGGGUGAAGGAACUAGGCAAAAUGGUGCCGUAACUUCGGGAGAAGGCACGCUGAUAUGUAGGUGAAGUCCCUUGCGGAUGGAGCUGAAAUCAGUCGAAGAUACCAGCUGGCUGCAACUGUUUAUUAAAAACACAGCACUGUGCAAACACGAAAGUGGACGUAUACGGUGUGACGCCUGCCCGGUGCCGGAAGGUUAAUUGAUGGGGUCAGCGCAAGCGAAGCUCUUGAUCGAAGCCCCGGUAAACGGCGGCCGUAACUAUAACGGUCCUAAGGUAGCGAAAUUCCUUGUCGGGUAAGUUCCGACCUGCACGAAUGGCGUAAUGAUGGCCAGGCUGUCUCCACCCGAGACUCAGUGAAAUUGAACUCGCUGUGAAGAUGCAGUGUACCCGCGGCAAGACGGAAAGACCCCGUGAACCUUUACUAUAGCUUGACACUGAACAUUGAGCCUUGAUGUGUAGGAUAGGUGGGAGGCUUUGAAGUGUGGACGCCAGUCUGCAUGGAGCCGACCUUGAAAUACCACCCUUUAAUGUUUGAUGUUCUAACGUGGACCCGUGAUCCGGGUUGCGGACAGUGUCUGGUGGGUAGUUUGACUGGGGCGGUCUCCUCCUAAAGAGUAACGGAGGAGCACGAAGGUUGGCUAAUCCUGGUCGGACAUCAGGAGGUUAGUGCAAUGGCAUAAGCCAGCUUGACUGCGAGCGUGACGGCGCGAGCAGGUGCGAAAGCAGGUCAUAGUGAUCCGGUGGUUCUGAAUGGAAGGGCCAUCGCUCAACGGAUAAAAGGUACUCCGGGGAUAACAGGCUGAUACCGCCCAAGAGUUCAUAUCGACGGCGGUGUUUGGCACCUCGAUGUCGGCUCAUCACAUCCUGGGGCUGAAGUAGGUCCCAAGGGUAUGGCUGUUCGCCAUUUAAAGUGGUACGCGAGCUGGGUUUAGAACGUCGUGAGACAGUUCGGUCCCUAUCUGCCGUGGGCGCUGGAGAACUGAGGGGGGCUGCUCCUAGUACGAGAGGACCGGAGUGGACGCAUCACUGGUGUUCGGGUUGUCAUGCCAAUGGCACUGCCCGGUAGCUAAAUGCGGAAGAGAUAAGUGCUGAAAGCAUCUAAGCACGAAACUUGCCCCGAGAUGAGUUCUCCCUGACCCUUUAAGGGUCCUGAAGGAACGUUGAAGACGACGACGUUGAUAGGCCGGGUGUGUAAGCGCAGCGAUGCGUUGAGCUAACCGGUACUAAUGAACCGUGAGGCUUAACCUU